GAGAAACACGUUUAACUUUUGGCCUGGCUACGAAAUCACUCGAAGCCCUUGGGCCAAGAGUCUACUCAACUCUAUACACCAAACGCGGCCACUCCGUAUCCAGAUUUCAGAAAGAGCACAUAUCAUAACCCGAAAUGCGUUGGUAUCUUCUCGCGUCGCGGUUUCACGUCAUUCACCUCUUUCAACAUCUAUAUUUAUAACUGGAUCUUAUAUCUAGAAUUAUUCAUCUUCCACGUAUUUAUUUGCGACUGUUAUCGCAGUUACGCUCUUCGCUCACGAAAUUCCAGCAUCCAAUUUAAAAAUUCUUAGAAACGUUCGAUAAUCCUCUUCGAUGCGCGCUUAGUUACUUUCGUUUCUCGAACUUCGCUUUCAGAAGUUUUUCUACGGCCACGUUUAAAUGUUUCCAGCGCGGUUGCCCCUUCUUAUCAUUGAAAGUCCCUUCCCGCUGGUAUUUAUCGACGAUCGUAGAUCUCUAUAUCUGGAAGAUUAAAUUUAUAAGAACUUACGAUCAUAAUUCGCCAGCCGGCCAACGAAAAAUGGUCCGCUAUAAAUUAACCCUCGAAUAUUUCUAUCGAGUUCGGUUCAACGAGGAAAUAUACUUGAUCCUAAAUCUCGCGCGAUUUUUAAAACGCUUAAUUUAACCCCGUGAACAAUCUCACGGGUCGUUCCUCAAUCUGGG
RNAcentral lists this unclassified non-coding RNA (679 nucleotides) under Bombus terrestris (buff-tailed bumblebee). RNAcentral's name for it is "misc RNA ENSBTSG00005034923.1". The record is from RNAcentral. Lineage: Eukaryota; Metazoa; Arthropoda; Insecta; Hymenoptera; Apidae.